GAUGAACGCUGGCGGCGUGCUUAACACAUGCAAGUCGAACGGUGAAGCAGAGCUUGCUCCGUGGAUCAGUGGCGAACGGGUGAGUAACACGUGAGCAACCUGCCCCGGACUCUGGGAUAAGCGCUGGAAACGGCGUCUAAUACCGGAUACGAGAUUCCACCGCAUGGUGAGUUUCUGGAAAGAUUUUUUGGUCUGGGAUGGGCUCACGGCCUAUCAGCUUGUUGGUGAGGUAAUGGCUCACCAAGGCGUCGACGGGUAGCCGGCCUGAGAGGGUGACCGGCCACACUGGGACUGAGACACGGCCCAGACUCCUACGGGAGGCAGCAGUGGGGAAUAUUGCACAAUGGGCGGAAGCCUGAUGCAGCAACGCCGCGUGAGGGAUGACGGCCUUCGGGUUGUAAACCUCUUUUAGCAGGGAAGAAGCGAAAGUGACGGUACCUGCAGAAAAAGCGCCGGUUAACUACGUGCCAGCAGCCGCCGUAA
This 483-nucleotide ribosomal RNA is filed under the name uncultured bacterium. RNAcentral's name for it is "partial 16S ribosomal RNA". It matches the Rfam family "Bacterial small subunit ribosomal RNA", at positions 28 to 523 of the family's 1533-position model. The record is from RNAcentral.